Molecule: ribosomal RNA, 648 nt
Filed under: Corynebacterium sp. R6
Lineage: Bacteria; Bacillati; Actinomycetota; Actinomycetes; Mycobacteriales; Corynebacteriaceae
Description: bacterial SSU rRNA
Rfam family: Bacterial small subunit ribosomal RNA
Source: RNAcentral
UCAUGGCUCAGGACGAACGCUGGCGGCGUGCUUAACACAUGCAAGUCGAACGGAAAGGCCCAGCUUGCUGGGUGCUCGAGUGGCGAACGGGUGAGUAACACGUGGGUGAUCUGCCCCUGACUUCGGGAUAAGCUUGGGAAACUGGGUCUAAUACCGGAUAGGACAAUCGUUUAGUGUCGGUUGUGGAAAGUUUUUUCGGUUAGGGAUGAGCCCGCGGCCUAUCAGCUUGUUGGUGGGGUAAUGGCCUACCAAGGCGUCGACGGGUAGCCGCCCUGAGAGGGUGGACGGCCACAUUGGGACUGAGAUACGGCCCAGACUCCUACGGGAGGCAGCAGUGGGGAAUAUUGCACAAUGGGCGCAAGCCUGAUGCAGCGACGCCGCGUGGGGGAUGACGGCCUUCGGGUUGUAAACCUCUUUCGACAGGGACGAAGCUUUUGUGACGGUACCUGUAUAAGAAGCACCGGCUAACUACGUGCCAGCAGCCGCGGUAAUACGUAGGGUGCGAGCGUUGUCCGGAAUUACUGGGCGUAAAGAGCUCGUAGGUGGUUUGUCGCGUCGUCUGUGAAAUUCCGGGGCUUAACUUCGGGCGUGCAGGCGAUACGGGCAUAACUUGAGUGCUGUAGGGGAGACUGGAAUUCCUGGUGUAGC